ACUCCUACGGGAGGCAGCAGUAAGGAAUAUUGCGCAAUGGGCAACAGCCUGACGCAGCGACGCCGCGUGGGGGAUGAAGGUCUUCGGAUUGUAAACCCCUUUCGGCAGGGAAGAUGGAACGGGUAACCGUUCGGACGGUACCUGCAGAAGCAGCCACGGCUAACUUCGUGCCAGCAGCCGCGGUAAUACGAAGGUGGCAAGCGUUGUUCGGAUUUACUGGGCGUACAGGGAGCGUAGGCGGUUGGGUAAGCCCUCCGUGAAAUCUCCGGGCCUAACCCGGAAAGUGCGGAGGGGACUGCCCGGCUAGAGGA
RNAcentral lists this ribosomal RNA (311 nucleotides) under uncultured bacterium. RNAcentral's name for it is "bacterial SSU rRNA". It matches the Rfam family "Bacterial small subunit ribosomal RNA", at positions 335 to 648 of the family's 1533-position model. The record is from RNAcentral.